GCCCAUAGCUCAGUUGGAUAGAGCGACGGACUUCGAAUCCGUAGGCCGAAGGUUCGAGACCUUCUGGGCGUA
Molecule: transfer RNA, 72 nt
Filed under: Candidatus Poribacteria bacterium
Lineage: Bacteria; Candidatus Poribacteria
Description: tRNA-Arg
Rfam family: tRNA
About the family: Transfer RNA (tRNA) molecules are approximately 80 nucleotides in length.
Source: RNAcentral